This 30-nucleotide non-coding RNA is filed under the name Rattus norvegicus (Norway rat). The record is from RNAcentral. Lineage: Eukaryota; Metazoa; Chordata; Mammalia; Rodentia; Muridae.
CAGUAGUUAAGAAUACUUCCUACGAUGUUC